UAAACAGGAUUCCCACAGUAAUGGCGAAUGAACAGGGAUAAGCUCAGCCUGGAAAUCGGGGCCCAUGGCCUUGACUUGUAGUCUUGCGAUGUACUGCCAACGGAGGCGCAGGUGUAAGCCUCUUGGAAAAGAGCAUCAAUGAGGGUGAGAGUCCCCCUUGCCAUCUGUAGUUCCCCGUGUACGGUGUGCUGUCCAAGAGUCACGCUCCUCGGGAUUGGAGCGCAAAGUGGGUGGUAAAUUUCAUCUAAAGCUGAAUAUUGGUCCGAGACCGAUAGCAAACAAGUACCAUGAGGGAAAGGUGAAAAGGACUUUGAAAAGAGAGUUAAAAGUGCCUGAAAUUGCUGAAAGGGAAGCGAACGGAACCAGUGCGUCUUGGUGAGAUUGUUGCGUGCCAUUGCAAGAGCUUGCUGCUUCAGUGAGAGCGUGGCAGUAGGUUUUGAACAGGACGCUCGCAGUGCUUCUUGCCUUGCAUGUCAGCUCCAGUUCACAGCUGAGGAAAACCUCGGGGAUAUGGUAGCUUGCCUCUGGGCGGGUGAAUGUGCCAGGUGGACUCAAGUGUGUACUGCUUGCUGACUACAUGGUUUUCUUCGA
RNAcentral lists this ribosomal RNA (591 nucleotides) under Peridinium palatinum. Its description in RNAcentral is "LSU rRNA". It matches the Rfam family "Eukaryotic large subunit ribosomal RNA", at positions 66 to 647 of the family's 3401-position model. Lineage: Eukaryota; Dinophyceae; Peridiniales; Peridiniaceae. The record is from RNAcentral.